This 625-nucleotide ribosomal RNA is filed under the name uncultured bacterium. Its description in RNAcentral is "bacterial SSU rRNA". It matches the Rfam family "Bacterial small subunit ribosomal RNA", at positions 103 to 707 of the family's 1533-position model. The record is from RNAcentral.
CGGGUGAGUAACGCGUGGGUGACCUGCCUUCGAGCGGGGGAUAACGUUCCGAAAGGGACGCUAAUACCGCAUGACAUCCUGUCUUUCAAGAGAUGGAGAUCAAAGCUGGGGAUCGCAAGACCUAGCACUCGAAGAGGGGCCCGCGUCCGAUUAGCUAGUUGGUGAGGUAACGGCUCACCAAGGCGACGAUCGGUAGCCGGCCUGAGAGGGCGGACGGCCACACUGGGACUGAGACGCGGCCCAGACUCCUACGGGAGGCAGCAGUGGGGAAUUGUUCGCAAUGGGCGCAAGCCUGACGACGCAACGCCGCGUGGAGGAUGAAGAUCUUCGGGUCGUAAACUCCUUUCGAUCGAGACGAAUUCCCUUGCGGUGAACAAUCGCGAGGGUUGACGGUACCGAGAGAAGAAGCCCCGGCUAACUCCGUGCCAGCAGCCGCGGUAAUACGGGGGGGGCAAGCGUUGUUCGGAAUUACUGGGCGUAAAGGGCUCGUAGGCGGCCAACUAAGUCAGACGUGAAAUCCCUCGGCUUAACCGGGGAACUGCGUCUGAUACUGGUUGGCUCGAGUUUGGGAGAGGGAUGCGGAAUUCCAGGUGUAGCGGUGAAAUGCGUAGAUAUCUGGAGGAAC